Serinus canaria (Common canary) is the source of this 335-nucleotide long non-coding RNA. RefSeq lists it as uncharacterized. The record is from RefSeq and is a predicted model, not a curated record. The transcript is spliced from 3 exons. NCBI's taxonomy places the organism in Eukaryota, Metazoa, Chordata, Aves, Passeriformes, Fringillidae.
UGCAGUCACAAUGAUGGAUUUCAGGCUGCACUGGGGGCUAUGUCAGAAUCUCAGGGAGCCCAGAGUCUCCUGUGAUGCCAGGACAGCCCCUCGGUAGCUUGCGACUGGAGCUGUUUUACGAUGGAGACAUGGAGGAAACUGCUAGCAGCUUCUCUUAGAAACUUACUUCCGUGGGUGGCUCUAAUGCAAAACCAGAACAGACACCUCCCUCUCAUUCCUUUCAAUGACAUGUACAAGAAGGCUUAAAAAUGAAGGUAGUUUCAUUAACCUUUACUGACUUCAUUCAUGCAAGACUAUCUGCAGCCAUCUGUAUUUCUUGAGCUCUCAUCCUAUGA